This 445-nucleotide ribosomal RNA is filed under the name uncultured bacterium. Its description in RNAcentral is "bacterial SSU rRNA". It matches the Rfam family "Bacterial small subunit ribosomal RNA", at positions 30 to 474 of the family's 1533-position model. The record is from RNAcentral.
AUUGAACGCUGGCGGCAUGCCUUACACAUGCAAGUCGAACGGCAGCACGGGAGCUUGCUCCUGGUGGCGAGUGGCGAACGGGUGAGUAAUAUAUCGGAACGUACCCUAGAGUGGGGAUAACGCAGCGAAAGUUGCGCUAAUACCGCAUACGAUCUACGGAUGAAAGUGGGGGAUCGCAAGACCUCAUGCUCAUGGAGCGGCCGAUAUCUGAUUAGCUAGUUGGUGGGGUAAAGGCCUACCAAGGCUUCGAUCAGUAGCUGGUCUGAGAGGACGACCAGCCACACUGGAACUGAGACACGGUCCAGACUCCUACGGGAGGCAGCAGUGGGGAAUUUUGGACAAUGGACGCAAGUCUGAUCCAGCCAUUCGCGUGCAGGAUGAAAGGCCCUCGGGUUGUAAACUGCUUUGUACGACGAAAGGUUGUCUUAAUACGUAUGAGCUCAUG